GAUGAACGCUGACAGAAUGCUUAACACAUGCAAGUCUUUGGCAAAUCUGUGCUUGCACAGCAUAGCCAAGGCGGACGGGUGAGUAACGCGUAAAGAACUUGCCCUGCAGUCUGGGAUAACAGACGGAAACGACUGAUAAAACCUGAUAUAAUCAAGCCCACGCAUGUGGUGCUUGAUGAAAAGAAAUGCUGCAGGAGAGCUUUGCGUCCUAUUAGCUUGUUGGUGGGGUAAUGGCCCACCAAGGCAAUGAUAGGUAGCCGGCCUGAGAGGGUGACCGGCCACAAGGGGACUGAGAUACGGCCCUUACUCCUACGGGAGGCAGCAGUGGGGAAUAUUGGACAAUGGGGGCAACCCUGAUCCAGCAAUUCUGUGUGCACGAAGAAGGUUUUCGGAUUGUAAAGUGCUUUCAGCAGGGAAGAAGAAAAUG
RNAcentral lists this ribosomal RNA (427 nucleotides) under Leptotrichia sp. oral taxon 463. Its description in RNAcentral is "bacterial SSU rRNA". It matches the Rfam family "Bacterial small subunit ribosomal RNA", at positions 28 to 456 of the family's 1533-position model. Lineage: Bacteria; Fusobacteriati; Fusobacteriota; Fusobacteriia; Fusobacteriales; Leptotrichiaceae. The record is from RNAcentral.